RNAcentral lists this ribosomal RNA (495 nucleotides) under uncultured bacterium. Its description in RNAcentral is "partial 16S ribosomal RNA". It matches the Rfam family "Bacterial small subunit ribosomal RNA", at positions 28 to 507 of the family's 1533-position model. The record is from RNAcentral.
GACGAACGCUGGCGGCGUGCCUAAUACAUGCAAGUAGAACGCUGAAGGAGGAGCUUUCUCUUCUGGAUGAGUUGCGAACGGGUGAGUAACGCGUAGGUAACCUGCCUGGUAGCGGGGGAUAACUAUUGGAAACGAUAGCUAAUACCGCAUAAGAGUAGAUGUUGCAUGACAUUUGCUUAAAAGGUGCAAUUGCAUCACUACCAGAUGGACCUGCGUUGUAUUAGCUAGUUGGUGGGGUAACGGCUCACCAAGGCGACGAUACAUAGCCGACCUGAGAGGGUGAUCGGCCACACUGGGACUGAGACACGGCCCAGACUCCUACGGGAGGCAGCAGUAGGGAAUCUUCGGCAAUGGACGGAAGUCUGACCGAGCAACGCCGCGUGAGUGAAGAAGGUUUUCGGAUCGUAAAGCUCUGUUGUAAGAGAAGAACGAGUGUGAGAGUGGAAAGUUCACACUGUGACGGUAUCUUACCAGAAAGGGACGGCUAACUACGUG